CUCAUGAGUACCCAGUGAGCCCACGCUCUUUUCCUUGUAUGAUCAGGCCCUCUGUGGCUAGUGUAGAGCCUGAGAAGAUUAUGAAAAUGUGGCUGGUGACAUGGGACCAGGGAUGUGGAG
This 120-nucleotide non-coding RNA is filed under the name Jaculus jaculus (lesser Egyptian jerboa). Lineage: Eukaryota; Metazoa; Chordata; Mammalia; Rodentia; Dipodidae. The record is from RNAcentral.